GCCGGGCUACGGGGCGAGCGCGGGGUGCGGUGGUCGGCGGGGAGGCCCCCGCGCUUUAAAAUAAUGCCCGCGGCGCCCGCGCGACCAUGCAAUGGCGAGCGCUCGUCCUGGGGCUGGUGCUCCUCCGGCUUGGCCUCCAUGGAGUAUUGUGGCUCGUCUUCGGGCUGGGGCCCAGCAUGGGCUUCUACCAGCGCUUUCCGCUCAGCUUCGGCUUCCAGCGUCUGAGGAGCCCCGACGGCCCCGCGUCGCCCACCUCGGGGCCCGUGGGCCGGCCGGGGGGGCUAUCCGGGCCGUCGUGGCUGCAGCCGCCGGGGACCGGGGCAGCGCAGAGCCCGCGCAAGGCUCCGCGGCGUCCUGGGCCGGGGGUGUGCGGCCCAGCCCACUGGGGCUACGUGCUGGGCGGCCGGGGCCGCGGCCCGGACGAGUACGAGAAGCGCUACAGCGGCGCCUUCCCUCCGCAGCUGCGUGCCCAGAUGCGCGACCUGGCACGGGGCAUGUUCGUCUUUGGCUACGACAACUACAUGGCUCACGCCUUCCCCCAGGACGAGCUCAACCCCAUCCACUGCCGCGGCCGUGGGCCCGACCGCGGGGACCCUUCAAAUCUGAACAUCAAUGAUGUACUAGGGAACUACUCAUUGACUCUUGUUGAUGCAUUGGAUACACUUGCAAUAAUGGGAAAUUCAUCCGAGUUCCAGAAAGCAGUCAAGUUAGUGAUCAACACAGUUUCAUUUGACAAAGAUUCCACCGUCCAAGUCUUUGAGGCCACGAUAAGGGUCCUGGGAAGCCUCCUUUCUGCUCACAGAAUAAUAACUGACUCCAAGCAGCCCUUUGGUGACAUGACAAUUAAGGACUAUGAUAAUGAGUUGUUAUACAUGGCCCAUGACCUGGCGGUGCGGCUCCUCCCUGCUUUUGAAAACACCAAGACAGGGAUUCCAUAUCCUCGGGUGAACCUAAAGACGGGAGUUCCUCCUGACACCAAUAAUGAGACAUGCACAGCGGGAGCCGGGUCCCUCCUGGUGGAAUUCGGGAUUCUGAGUCGACUCCUGGGGGACUCCACAUUUGAGUGGGUGGCCAGACGAGCAGUGAAAGCCCUUUGGAACCUCCGGAGCAAUGAUACAGGAUUACUAGGCAAUGUCGUGAACAUUCAGACGGGCCAUUGGGUUGGAAAGCAGAGUGGCCUGGGUGCCGGGCUGGACUCCUUCUAUGAAUACCUCUUGAAAUCUUACAUUCUCUUUGGAGAAAAAGAAGACCUAGAAAUGUUUAAUGCUGCAUAUCAGAGUAUUCAGAACUACUUAAGAAGAGGGCGGGAAGCCUGCAAUGAAGGAGAAGGAGACCCUCCACUCUAUGUCAACGUGAACAUGUUCAGUGGGCAGCUGAUGAACACCUGGAUUGACUCGCUGCAGGCCUUUUUCCCUGGACUGCAGGUGCUGAUAGGAGAUGUGGAAGAUGCCAUCUGCCUUCAUGCCUUCUACUAUGCCAUAUGGAAACGAUAUGGUGCCCUCCCUGAGAGAUAUAACUGGCAGCUGCAGGCCCCUGACGUUCUCUUCUACCCACUGAGACCAGAGUUAGUGGAAUCCACAUAUCUCCUCUACCAGGCAACCAAGAAUCCCUUCUACCUCCAUGUAGGAAUGGAUAUUCUGCAGAGUCUGGAAAAGUACACAAAAGUCAAGUGUGGGUACGCCACGCUGCAUCACGUCAUUGACAAGUCCACAGAAGACCGGAUGGAGAGCUUCUUUCUCAGUGAGACCUGUAAAUAUUUGUAUCUGGUAUGUGUGUUGCAAGAUGAACCCAGGAAUAUUUAGUAUUGCUUAGAGCAAGCAUUCGCAUAGUCUUCCAUCUGACAGAUACUUACUGGCUACAGCUACAUGCUGGACAUUGUGCAUUCCCAGGAUGCAAACGCUGUCAGAACCAAAGGAUAUUACUAUCUUCUUUCACGGUUUCCAACCUUGUUGAAAA
RNAcentral lists this small RNA (1956 nucleotides) under Pan troglodytes (chimpanzee). RNAcentral describes it as "retained intron". The record is from RNAcentral. Lineage: Eukaryota; Metazoa; Chordata; Mammalia; Primates; Hominidae.